This 587-nucleotide ribosomal RNA is filed under the name Pleurotus cystidiosus. Its description in RNAcentral is "LSU rRNA". It matches the Rfam family "Eukaryotic large subunit ribosomal RNA", at positions 68 to 644 of the family's 3401-position model. Lineage: Eukaryota; Fungi; Basidiomycota; Agaricomycetes; Agaricales; Pleurotaceae. The record is from RNAcentral.
CUAAGGAUUCCCCUAGUACUGCGAGUGAAGCGGGAAAGCUCAAAUUUAAAAUCUGGUGGUCUUUGGCCAUCCGAGUUGUAAUCUAGAGAAGUGUUAUCCGCGCUGGCCCGUGUACAAGUCCCCUGGAAUGGGGCGUCAUAGAGGGUGAGAAUCCCGUCUUUGACACGGACUACCAGGGCUUUGUGAUGCACUCUCAAAGAGUCGAGUUGUUUGGGAAUGCAGCUCAAAAUGGGUGGUAAAUUCCAUCUAAAGCUAAAUAUUGGCGAGAGACCGAUAGCGAACAAGUACCGUGAGGGAAAGAUGAAAAGAACUUUGGAAAGAGAGUUAAACAGUACGUGAAAUUGUUGAAAGGGAAACGCUUGAAGUCAGUCGCGUCAGUCAGGGAUCAACCUUACUUUUGUGAGGCGUACUUCCUGGUUGAUGGGUCAGCAUCAGUUUUGGCUGCUGGAUAAAGGUCAGAGAAAUGUGGCACCUCCGGGUGUGUUAUAGUCUCUGAUCAGAUACAGUGGCUGGGACUGAGGAACUCAGCACGCCGCAAGGCCGGGGUUCGCCCACGUUCGUGCUUAGGAUGCUGGCAAAAUGCUAAG